UCCUCUGGCAUCUUCACAAAGACAGAGGGGUCGUCUUAGCUCUGCCUUGCCCCAAGCUGUGCUGCCGCCAUGGAUAAAUAGCCUGUAGUCUUCCUCUUCUUCAGCACUUUACCUACAGCAGUGCUUGCGCCUGGAGCAGAGCUCUGUUCUAUCCACAGAUUACUCACACCUGCUUCAGGUCAUUUUGCUUUUAAAUAUCCUUCAUGGUGUGCUUAGGGAAAGCAAGCCAAGGUGCUGCGCAUAACAACUCCAGCCUGUGGCUAAGUGAUCGUGUGCUGGAGCCAUCAGUCCAGGACUCUCUCGUGGUCCAGCUCCGACAUUUACAAAACGUCUGACUAUCUGGAAGCUCAAGAACCACAUUCUGCCAGUUGAAGGAAUCAGGCAAGAAUUUGAAGGUGGAAGAGAAGCAGAAGCAAUGAUAGCUUCCAUGACUACAGCAGACAGAUGGCUGGCCUUUCAAGGAUGCAGUGUUUUGCCAGUGGCUCCCAGCUGUUUUCCUGAAAAUCACCCACACCCAUACUGCAGAAGACUGAGGAUACUGCUGAGAAUUGUCUGUGAUUCCUGACUUUCUGAUUUCCUCAUCCUUACCUCUCCAGUCCCAUGUGUAAUGGUGAAAAUCUUUAUUUCUCCAUAUUAAACUGCCUUAAGCUUGAAGUACUGGAGAGGUUUGCUUCUCCCUGCCUCUCGUUCUCCUGGUUUGUGAAACCACCUUAGUGACUCACUUCUAUGUAAAUCUAUGCUCUUGUCCUCAUCACCAGCAAACCCUCAAUAAUAUCGAUGUAAAGCUACCCGGUUUCUGACCACAAUCUUCUGAAUUUCCAGCUGUGUUCUUCUGGUUACUAGAGCAAUGACUCCAACUGAUAAUUGAAGUAACCAGAAUUGACAAUCCACUGGUCUUAUCACAACUCACUUAUGUCCUCACAUUUUACUUAACCAGUUAAGAAUCCAUAGUCUGUUAUAAUUACUCACUUAACAUUUGCCCUCAGCUCUCUUACUCCUCUUUCACUUAAAAAUCCCAAGCCUGACUAAAUUUACCUCUCCUGCAGAAAAUCCAUUUUAAAUCAGAUCGAAUCCAUGACUAACAGCCUCAAAUAUAUUCUUAGUAUUACUGGUAAAUCCUAUCACAUUUCCCAAUUUAGUCUCCCAAUCUCCUGGAUUAUUAUUUUAUAAUUUCUACUCUUUCUUUUAAUCUGAUGUGGUUUCUUAUCUAUCCUCUCUCAGCAGAAGUUGUAGGUAAUCUGAAGAAAAUUGUUCCAAGUUCCUUCCAGCAUCCCUCACGCUGUAAUCUGGACGCCUACGUGAUUCCCUCUUCCUGUUACCAUGGAGGAACUGUUUAUAUUUUGAUCAAAGGCAAAACCUUUCACUUGUGCUCAAGAUGCCAACUCUCCCACUCGCUCAUGAACAUUGUUCCAGAAAGUUUAGUGUCUCUGUUCUGUGUCAUAAAGUUUCUCUCUCUGGUGAGCAUGAUGCAUAAGGAGAACAGCAUGAAACGUGAUAUAACUUCUCCCAUCUUACAAACACUUUUCUCUUUACCCCACGUCAACCUUACAGGUAUCACCCACUGCUCUGUUCUUAUUUACAACAAAACUCUUUGACAGUGUUGUCU
This 1606-nucleotide long non-coding RNA is filed under the name Equus caballus (horse). Its description in RNAcentral is "lncRNA (ENSECAG00000056191.1)". The record is from RNAcentral. Lineage: Eukaryota; Metazoa; Chordata; Mammalia; Perissodactyla; Equidae.